Molecule: ribosomal RNA, 490 nt
Filed under: uncultured bacterium
Lineage: Bacteria
Description: bacterial SSU rRNA
Rfam family: Bacterial small subunit ribosomal RNA
Source: RNAcentral
CUACGUGCCAGCAGCCGCGGUAAUACGUAGGGCGCGAGCGUUGUCCGGAAUUAUUGGGCGUAAAGGGCUUGUAGGCGGUUGGUCGCGUCUGCCGUGAAAUCCUCUGGCUUAACUGGGGGCGUGCGGUGGGUACGGGCUGACUUGAGUGCGGUAGGGGAGACUGGAACUCCUGGUGUAGCGGUGGAAUGCGCAGAUAUCAGGAAGAACACCGGUGGCGAAGGCGGGUCUCUGGGCCGUUACUGACGCUGAGGAGCGAAAGCGCGGGGAGCGAACAGGAUUAGAUACCCUGGUAGUCCACGCUGUAAACGUUGGGCACUAGGUGUGGGGGCCACCCGUGGUUUCUGCGCCGUAGCUAACGCUUUAAGUGCCCCGCCUGGGGAGUACGGCCGCAAGGCUAAAACUCAAAGGAAUUGACGGGGGCCCGCACAAGCGGCGGAGCAUGCGGAUUAAUUCGAUGCAACGCGAAGAACCUUACCAAGGCUUGACAUGC